GUAAUAUUGUUGAAUUUUCACAGAAUUCGAUGGAAAUCUUUACCAGAUCUGCUGGUGCCUACCGACACAAUCUGCCAUAAUUCGAUGGCUUAGAGUAGUUUGUGUAUUUGAAUAUCUGCCAAAAUUAGUUGGUCUUGAGUACCGUUUGUAUUGAGUUUGUUUAUUAAGCUGUAGACACCUAUCUAGAAGGUGUAUUGCUUCCGAGAUUGAAUCGGAAAGUAGUCGUUUAUAUCCAUCGAAUUCCUGCGGCAGGUUUUGGAAAUUUUCAUGGAUCCUUGCCAUGAUCCAUGAAAAUUUCUACCAAAGCAGCAAUGUUGUGUUACAGUUAAUUAUUUCAUUCAUUAUAUUGAUACGAUAAGAGCGCAUUUGGCAAACAUUUUAUUUUUACCCAUUCCCCUCAUAAAGAAACUCAUUCGUGAAUGCACAAAUAUGAAACUUUUUCUCGGAGUGCUAAAAAUCAAAAAACACUGAGAUAAGACACAGCAAAGAAUUUCGAAUUGACUUUGAGUGGAUUUCGCUAAGCAUGUAGAAUGCCAAAAUCAAAACAAACCAAAAGAACUGAAUAGUUGGCAGCAGUGCUUUGCCAGCUAGUUUCCGGAAGAAAAGUGAACGACGCGGAAGUAAAAAGUGCGCUAGCUGUCGGAAAACGCCGUCGCCAAUUCCUGAAAUUCGGGAACGCAAGAAAACAGCAGGAACCGACAGGCUCGCUCCACCGUUUGGCCGCUACCACAAACUCUUCCGGGUAGGACGACUGCCGAAACGGCAAAGAGGCUUUGGGCCACAAACAAGUCAGAAUUGCCUAUUCGUAAAGUCGCCAGCAGUACCUCCUCUGCUCUGCAGGCACUUGGAAAAGCACGAGGUUGAAUCGAAGGACAAACUUCUAAGCAAGCCCGGAGAGAUUUGCGGUAGCAAUCGGCCAACUCGAAAGAGCCACGCAGACCCGGAAAUUGCCUGCCGAAAGGAAAAGGAAAAUUGCACACAAGGGGUCGGAGACGUGAGUACUUUUUCUAUCAUCAUUAUGCCACGUCUGACCGACGCUUUCCCCCCGACAGGACCCCUUUUUUAUAUAUCCUUCUGGUACAUUCCCGUUUGUUCAUCCUGGUGCACUUUUCUUGCACAUUUUGACCACCGUCACUGACAAUCGGUUGGGGCGUGUAUCGACACGUGCCACAUCAUUUGUUUUCCCCUGGGAGGAGCAAAUUGCUUCAGUCCCGAGAGGCAUUUUCGCGGAGCCGCGGCCGGAGCAAACUGGUUGGUCUCCACGGCGGAAAAUCGUCGACUCGGCCUAUUGGUACCGGACAGUCGUGUCAACAGCUGCAGCAGGAGCUUUUCGUGGAUCCGCGCAGGAUCAAAGGCCCGGAACUCAUCGUUUGGACAGUCGAUGACAAAGCGGUUCGAUUCAUUGUCGACAACAUACUGGGGGAACCGAACCGCUGGGAGCAUUUGCGAAUGCAUCGGUGCACCCGAAGACGAUCGUGGGCGAGAGUUUGUCGCCAGGAAAACGACAAUGAAAAUUUCCAUGCACCAGAUCACGAAAAGGAAAUUCGUCGCUUCGAAGAAUCUGAGGCACGGGUGCAAGAUCGCGACCGGAUCGUGUUGUGCAUGCCAGUGAGGAGUAAGGUGGUGGGCACGAGAUUGCAGCGCAGUGCCACAGCUGCGCGAGAAUCUUGCGCAUGUGUAGGUGAGGAGCCAUCUUAUUGGAAAUUAGUUUGUGCGAAUCGAGAACAAAUUUGCGGAGUGGAUUCGCGAUCACAUCGAGCGCUGAGUGCGGCACGGGUGAGGUCAUCCGAAGCGUGUCGCACAGUCCGGAAGGUUACGAACGGAUUCGAGCAGGAAUUGCGCAAAUCACCCAGGAGAUUGGGUUGCGCAAACAGAACGAGUUUACCAGGCAGAAUGAAAGCCUCAAGGAGGCCAAAAGGAUCGUCGAGCAUUGUGUAGCAUGUAGCCACGUAAGUCGACCACUCAAAAAUAUUUAUGGGGGAUAAUAAAAUGGGUUCAAUCCAAUUGCAACAACAUUAAAGUUGCCCAGAAUAUGUUUGCUUCUAUUUUUCUGAUUUUUGCGCUUUGUGGCUUCAA
Molecule: long non-coding RNA, 2076 nt
Organism: Uranotaenia lowii
Lineage: Eukaryota; Metazoa; Arthropoda; Insecta; Diptera; Culicidae
Exons: 4
Source: RefSeq, a predicted model, not a curated record